GACGAACGCUGGCGGCGUGCUUAACACAUGCAAGUCGAACGGUGAAGCGCCUUCCUUUUUGGUGGGUGUGGAUGAGUGGCGAACGGGUGAGUAACACGUGAGUAACCUGCCCCCCUCUUCUGGAUAACCGCAUGAAAGUGUGGCUAAUACGGGAUAUUCUGGGUCUGUCGCAUGAUGGGUCUGGGAAAGAUAUUGUUUCGGUGGGGGAUGGGCUCGCGGCCUAUCAGCUUGUUGGUGGGGUGAUGGCCUACCAAGGCUGUGACGGGUAGCCGGCCUGGGAGGGUGGACGGUCACACUGGGACGGAGACACGGCCCAGACUCCUACGGGAGGCAGCAGUGGGGAAUAUUGCACAGUGGGCGCAAGCCUGAUGCAGCGACGACGCGGGAGGGAUGGAGGCCUUCGGGUUGUGAACCUCUUUCGCCAGUGAAGCAGGCCUGCCUCGUUUGUGGGUGGGUUGACGGUAGCUGGAUAAGAAGCGCCGGCUAACUACGUG
This 494-nucleotide ribosomal RNA is filed under the name uncultured bacterium. Its description in RNAcentral is "partial 16S ribosomal RNA". It matches the Rfam family "Bacterial small subunit ribosomal RNA", at positions 28 to 507 of the family's 1533-position model. The record is from RNAcentral.